CAGCCGUAAACUAUGCGCGUUAGGUGUAUCGGUGACCACGAGUUACCGAGGUGCCGAAGGGAAACCGUGAAACGUGCCGCCUGGGAAGUACGGUCGCAAGGCUGAAACUUAAAGGAAUUGGCGGGGGGAGGCACCACAACAGGUGGAGCCUGCGGUUUAAUUGGACUCAACGCCGGGAAGCUCACCGGAUAGGACAGCAGAAUGAUUGCCGGGCUGAAGACCCUGCAUGACUAGCUGAGAGGUGGUGCAUGGCGUCAGUGACUGU
Molecule: ribosomal RNA, 265 nt
Filed under: uncultured archaeon
Lineage: Archaea
Description: partial 16S ribosomal RNA
Rfam family: Archaeal small subunit ribosomal RNA
Source: RNAcentral